RNAcentral lists this ribosomal RNA (501 nucleotides) under uncultured bacterium. RNAcentral describes it as "partial 16S ribosomal RNA". It matches the Rfam family "Bacterial small subunit ribosomal RNA", at positions 30 to 523 of the family's 1533-position model. The record is from RNAcentral.
AUUGAACGCUGGCGGCAUGCCUUACACAUGCAAGUCGAACGGCAGCACGGGUGCUUGCACCUGGUGGCGAGUGGAGAACGGGUGAGUAAUACAUCGGAACGUACCUUAUCGUGGGGGAUAACGCAGCGAAAGCUGUGCUAAUACAGCAUACGCCCUGAGGGGGAAAGCGGGGGAUCGCAAGACCUCGCGCGAUUAGAGCGGCCGAUGCCUGAUUAGCUUGUUGGUGGGGUAAAGGCCCACCAAGGCGACGAUCAGUAGGUGGUUUACGCGGACGAUCAGCCCCACUGGGACUGAGACACGGCACAGACUCCUACGGGACGCAGCAGUGGGGAAUUUUGGACAAUGGGCGCAACCCUGAUCCAGCAAUGCCGCGUGAGUGAAGAAGGCCUUCGGGUUGUAAAGCUCUUUUGUCAGGGAAGAAACACCGGCUCUAACACAGUCCGGUAAUGACGGUACCUGAAGAAUAAGCACCGGCUAACUACGUGCCAGCAGCCGCCGUAA